UGGGGAAGUAUUGCACAAUGGGCGCAAGCCUGAUGCAGCCAUGCCGCGUGUAUGAAGAAGGCCUUCGGGUUGUAAAGUACUUUCAGCGGGGAGGAAGGCGAUAAGGUUAAUAACCUUGUCGAUUGACGUUACCCGCAGAAGAAGCACCGGCUAACUCCGUGCCAGCAGCCGCGGUAAUACGGAGGGUGCAAGCGUUAAUCGGAAUUACUGGGCGUAAAGCGCACGCAGGCGGUCUGUCAAGUCGGAUGUGAAAUCCCCCGGGCUCAACCUGGGAACUGCAUUCGAAACUGGCAGGCUGGAGUCUUGUAGA
Molecule: ribosomal RNA, 310 nt
Filed under: uncultured Enterobacteriaceae bacterium
Lineage: Bacteria; Pseudomonadati; Pseudomonadota; Gammaproteobacteria; Enterobacterales; Enterobacteriaceae
Description: bacterial SSU rRNA
Rfam family: Bacterial small subunit ribosomal RNA
Source: RNAcentral